This 374-nucleotide long non-coding RNA is filed under the name Monodelphis domestica (gray short-tailed opossum). RNAcentral describes it as "lncRNA (ENSMODG00000043374.1)". The record is from RNAcentral. Lineage: Eukaryota; Metazoa; Chordata; Mammalia; Didelphimorphia; Didelphidae.
GAAUGGCUCCAAAGAAGACAUGAGACGACACCUCCAUUACUCCUAUUCAUGGAGAUGGCACAGAGGAAAUACAAGAGAAGAAUAUAUUUGCAGAUGCAGAUGAUAGAAGUACAAUCAAUAAAUAUUUAAAGAUAUCAAGGUUUACAGAUGAGGGAACCAAGGUACUCAAAGAAUCUCUCACAAAGGAGGAUUGGAUACUGAUAAUGCUGUUGGAAAUUAUUGUUCAGGGCUCUUAUUCAUAGCCCACUACCUGUUUUGGGUCACCUGGGUCUUUUUUCUCUUGAUACUGUCCUGCAGAACUUAAACUCCAUUUUUCUAAAGCCUCCUUGAAGAUAAGUCAAACAACCUACUUGACAAUCUUUAUAGUUUUAGGG